AACGUCUGCGAUGAUACAGUU
Molecule: microRNA, 21 nt
Filed under: Bombyx mori (domestic silkworm)
Lineage: Eukaryota; Metazoa; Arthropoda; Insecta; Lepidoptera; Bombycidae
Description: bmo-miR-6498-3p
Source: miRBase by way of RNAcentral